Molecule: long non-coding RNA, 1086 nt
Organism: Alexandromys fortis (reed vole)
Lineage: Eukaryota; Metazoa; Chordata; Mammalia; Rodentia; Cricetidae
Exons: 3
Source: RefSeq, a predicted model, not a curated record
GAGAGAUGGCUCAUUGCUUAAGAACACUUUGAAGGACCAGUUUGGCUCCCAGCACCCACAUCAGGUGCCACACAACCAUCUGUAACUAGCUCUAGAGGAUCCAGUGACCCCAGCCUUUCAGGGUACCUACAAGUUAUGUGCAGACACACAAAUAGAUAAUUUAAAGAUAUUACGCAUUAUUUAUAGCUAGGUAUAGUGGUACAUGCCUUUAAGCUCAGCAUUCCAGUACAUGUGUGUGUCCAAUUCAAGACCAGCCUAUAUAGAUCUGCCUCUAUGUAGUCAUUUCCAGGACAGCCAGCACUACAAAAACAAACAAACAAAAAGAAACUAAUAAUCACUAUUUAAAAAAUUUUUUUCAGUGGAAGUUGGGAUAGCAUCCUGACAACCUGGGAGGCUUAAGUGACAAGGCCAAGAUGACUCUAAAGGUAUAUCAGCCUUCUCUUGGGACCUUGAAUAGUGCUCUUGGGACAAAGCUCAUUCUCUGAAAUGACUCCAAAGGAGUGGAAGACAUCAUGUUUCCAACCUCCUCUAUUUACUAACCUGGGUCCAGCCACAUGGGUCUGCCCCUCACAGUACCUGGUGCCCUUCCCUACUGGGACCUCUGUUCCUCUUUCUAACUCCAGACUGUUCUUCAAGUGGCGGUUUACUGUAUAUGACCACAGGGAGACCCCCCGAAGUUCCCAUCUCCUCCCAGUCCAGGAUCUCUCUAUGUGAUACUGUUGUCCUGGAUCUUGAUAUAUAGAGCAAGUUGGCCUUGAACUCACAGACGUUCUACUGGCUUUGCCUCCUGAGUGAUGGAAUUAAAUAUUCACAUGACCACACCCUGCUCGUCGAACUCUUGAAUUCCAAGCAGCUGUAAUUGCUUACUUACAAAGGACUAGCACAAGAUUGGGCCUAUCCACAUUCCAUUAUAGAGCGGGGAUGGAGGGGGGAUCGCAAGAGGCCCAAUUUCUCCCGGAGUAGUUAAAGGUUGCUGGGGGAAGGACUUUCCUCAGUGGUGUAUCCACUGGUGAGUUGCAUGUAAGUAACCCUAAUUGAACUCAUUGAAUCACCAAUAAAAAAAUUAACAAAAGGACACGUAGAAGA